UAGGGAAUCUUCCACAAUGGACGCAAGUCUGAUGGAGCAAUGCCGCGUGAGUGAAGAAGGUUUUCGGAUCGUAAAGCUCUGUUGUUGGUGAAGAAGGAUAGAGGCAGUAACUGGUCUUUAUUUGACGGUAAUCAACCAGAAAGUCACGGCUAACUACGUGCCAGCAGCCGCGGUAAUACGUAGGUGGCAAGCGUUGUCCGGAUUUAUUGGGCGUAAAGCGAGCGCAGGCGGAAUGAUAAGUCUGAUGUGAAAGCCCACGGCUCAACCGUGGAACUGCAUCGGAAACUGUCAUUCUUGAGUGCAGAAGAGGAGAGUGGAAUUCCAUGUGUAGCGGUGGAAUGCGUAGAUAUAUGGAAGAACACCAGUGGCGAAGGCGGCUCUCUGGUCUGCAACUGACGCUGAGGCUCGAAAGCAUGGGUAGCGAACAGG
Molecule: ribosomal RNA, 429 nt
Filed under: bacterium
Lineage: Bacteria
Description: partial 16S ribosomal RNA
Rfam family: Bacterial small subunit ribosomal RNA
Source: RNAcentral